This 495-nucleotide ribosomal RNA is filed under the name uncultured bacterium. RNAcentral describes it as "partial 16S ribosomal RNA". It matches the Rfam family "Bacterial small subunit ribosomal RNA", at positions 28 to 507 of the family's 1533-position model. The record is from RNAcentral.
GAUGAACGCUGGCGGCGUGCCUAAUACAUGCAAGUCGAACGCUGAAGGAGGAGCUUGCUCUUCUGGAUGAGUUGCGAACGGGUGAGUAACGCGUAGGUAACCUGCCUGGUAGCGGGGGAUAACUAUUGGAAACGAUAGCUAAUACCGCAUGACAACAGUUAUUGCAUGAUAACUGUUUAAAAGGGGCAACUGCUCCACUACCAGAUGGACCUGCGUUGUAUUAGCUAGUUGGUGAGGUAACGGCUCACCAAGGCGACGAUACAUAGCCGACCUGAGAGGGUGAUCGGCCACACUGGGACUGAGACACGGCCCAGACUCCUACGGGAGGCAGCAGUAGGGAAUCUUCGGCAAGGGACGGAAGUCUGACCGAGCAACGCCGCGUGAGUGAAGAAGGUUUUCGGAUCGUAAAGCUCGGUUGUAAGAGAAGAACGAGUGUGAGAGUGGAAAGUUCACACUGUGACGGUAUCUUACCAGAAAGGGACGGCUAACUACGUG